UUUGAUCCUGGCUCAGAACGAACGCUGGCGGCACGCCUCAUACAUGCAAGUCGAGCGCGAAACCACCUUCGGGUGAUGUAGAGCGGCGAACGGGGUGAGUAACAGGUGGGUAAUCUGCCCUUUGGCGGGGGACGAACAGCUGGAAACGGCUGCUAAUACCGCAUGUGAUUGUGGACUUAUGGUCUGCAAGGAAAGGCGCCUCAAAGCGCCACCAAAGGAUGAGCCCGCCCCCCAUUAGCUAGUUGGUGAGAUAACAGCUCACCAAGGCAUCGAUGGGUAGCCGAGCUGAGAGGUUGAUCGGCCACACUGGAACUGAGACACGGUCCAGACACCUACGGGUGGCAGCAGUAGGGAAUAUUGCGCAAUGGGCGAAAGCCUGACGCAGCGAUGCCGCGUGAGUGACGAAGGUCUUAGGAUUGUAAAGCUCUUUUCUGAGGGAAGAAUAGGUCUGGUAGGAAAUGACUGGAUUCUGACGGUA
Molecule: ribosomal RNA, 478 nt
Filed under: uncultured bacterium
Lineage: Bacteria
Description: bacterial SSU rRNA
Rfam family: Bacterial small subunit ribosomal RNA
Source: RNAcentral